This 497-nucleotide ribosomal RNA is filed under the name uncultured bacterium. RNAcentral describes it as "partial 16S ribosomal RNA". It matches the Rfam family "Bacterial small subunit ribosomal RNA", at positions 28 to 507 of the family's 1533-position model. The record is from RNAcentral.
GAUGAACGCUGGCGGCGUGCCUAAUACAUGCCAGUCGAGCGAACAGACGAGGAGCUUGCUCCUUUGACGUUAGCGGCGGACGGGUGAGUAACACGUAGGUAACCUACCUAUAAGACUGGGAUAACUUCGGGAAACCGGAGCUAAUACCGGAUAAUAUUUCGAACCGCAUGGUUCGAUAGUGAAAGAUGGCUUUGCUAUCACUUAUAGACGGACCUGCGCCGUAUUAGCUAGUUGGUAAGGUAACGGCUUACCAAGGCAACGAUACGUAGCCGACCUGAGAGGGUGAUCGGCCACACUGGAACUGAGACACGGUCCAGACUCCUACGGGAGGCAGCAGUAGGGAAUCUUCCGCAAUGGGCGAAAGCCUGACGGAGCAACGCCGCGUGAGUGAUGAAGGUCUUCGGAUCGUAAAACUCUGUUAUUAGGGAAGAACAAACGUGUAAGUAACUGUGCACGUCCUGACGGUACCUAAUCAGAAAGCCACGGCUAACUACGUG